CCUACGGGAGGCAGCAGUAGGGAAUCUUCCACAAUGGACGAAAGUCUGAUGGAGCAACGCCGCGUGAGUGAAGAAGGGUUUCGGCUCGUAAAGCUCUGUUGGUAGUGAAGAAAGAUAGAGGUAGUAACUGGCCUUUAGUUGACGGUAAGGACGGAGAAAGGCACGGCUAACUACGUGCCAGCAGCCGCGGUAAAACGUAGGUGGCAAGCGUUGUCCGGAUUGAUUGGGCGGAAAGCGAGUGCAGGCGGUUCCAUAAGUCUGAUGUGAAAGCCUUCGGCUCAACCGGAGAAUUGCAUCCGAAACUUUUGACCUUGAGUGCAGCAGAGGCGAGUGGCACUCCAUGUGUAGCGGUGUAAUGCUUAGAUAUAUG
RNAcentral lists this ribosomal RNA (370 nucleotides) under uncultured bacterium. Its description in RNAcentral is "partial 16S ribosomal RNA". It matches the Rfam family "Bacterial small subunit ribosomal RNA", at positions 338 to 700 of the family's 1533-position model. The record is from RNAcentral.